Molecule: ribosomal RNA, 458 nt
Filed under: uncultured bacterium
Lineage: Bacteria
Description: partial 16S ribosomal RNA
Rfam family: Bacterial small subunit ribosomal RNA
Source: RNAcentral
CCUACGGGGGGCAGCAGUGAGGAAUAUUGGUCAAUGGGCGAGAGCCUGAACCAGCCAAGUCGCGUGAGGGAGUACUGCCCUAUGGGUUGUAAACCUCUUUUGUCGGGGAGCAAAAGCCGGACGUGUCCGGCUGUGAGAGUACCCGAAGAAAAAGCAUCGGCUAACUCCGUGCCAGCAGCCGCGGUAAUACGGAGGAUGCGAGCGUUUUCCGGAUUUAUUGGGUUUAAAGGGUGCGCAGGCGGAUUUUUAAGUCAGCGGUAAAAUCGUGGGGCUCAACCCCAUCCAGCCGGUGAAACUGGGGAUCUAGAGUGUGCGUGAGGUAUGCGGAAUGCGUGGUGUAGCGGUGAAAUGCAUAGAUAUCACGCAGAACCCCGAUUGCGAAGGCAGCAUACCGGUGCACAACUGACGCUCAGGCACGAAAGCGUGGGUAUCGAACAGGAUUAGAUACCCCGGUAGUC